GUCUAUGGCCAUACCACUCUGAACAUUGAUCUCAGAAGCUAAGGAGGGUCGGGCCUGGUUAGUACUUGGAUGGGAGACAACUUGUGAAUACUGGGUGCUGUAGGUA
RNAcentral lists this ribosomal RNA (106 nucleotides) under Peromyscus maniculatus bairdii (prairie deer mouse). Lineage: Eukaryota; Metazoa; Chordata; Mammalia; Rodentia; Cricetidae. The record is from RNAcentral.